This 497-nucleotide ribosomal RNA is filed under the name uncultured bacterium. RNAcentral describes it as "partial 16S ribosomal RNA". It matches the Rfam family "Bacterial small subunit ribosomal RNA", at positions 28 to 507 of the family's 1533-position model. The record is from RNAcentral.
GACGAACGCUGGCGGCGUGCCUAAUACAUGCAAGUUGAGCGCUGAAGGUUGGUGCUUGUACCAACUGGAUGAGCAGCGAACGGGUGAGUAACGCGUGGGGAAUCUGCCUUUGAGCGGGGGACAACAUUUGGAAACGAAUGCUAAUACCGCAUAAAAACUUUAAACACAAGUUUUAAGUUUGAAAGAUGCAAUUGCAUCACUCAAAGAUGAUCCCGCGUUGUAUUAGCUAGUUGGUGAGGUAAAGGCUCACCAAGGCGAUGAUACAUAGCCGACCUGAGAGGGUGAUCGGCCACAUUGGGACUGAGACACGGCCCAAACUCCUACGGGAGGCAGCAGUAGGGAAUCUUCGGCAAUGGACGAAAGUCUGACCGAGCAACGCCGCGUGAGUGAAGAAGGGUGUCGGAUCGUAAAACUCUGUUGGUAGAGAAGAACGUUGGUGAGAGUGGAAAGCUCAUCAAGUGACGGUAACUACCCAGAAAGGGACGGCUAACUACGUG